UACGAAGGGGGCUAGCGUUGCUCGGAAUUACUGGGCGUAAAGCGCACGUAGGCGGCUUCUUAAGUCGGUGGUGAAAUCCUGGAGCUCAACUCCAGAACUGCCUUCGAUACUGGGAAGCUCGAGUCCGGGAGAGGUGAGUGGGACUGCGAGUGUAGAGGUGAAAUUCGUAGAUACUCGCAAGAACACCAGUGGCGAAGGCGGCUCACUGGCCCGGUACUGACGCUGAGGUGCGAAAGCGUGGGGAGCAAACAGG
Molecule: ribosomal RNA, 253 nt
Filed under: uncultured bacterium
Lineage: Bacteria
Description: partial 16S ribosomal RNA
Rfam family: Bacterial small subunit ribosomal RNA
Source: RNAcentral